This 305-nucleotide ribosomal RNA is filed under the name uncultured bacterium. RNAcentral's name for it is "bacterial SSU rRNA". It matches the Rfam family "Bacterial small subunit ribosomal RNA", at positions 333 to 630 of the family's 1533-position model. The record is from RNAcentral.
CCGCACCUACGGGGGGCAGCAGUGGGGAAUAUUGCGCAAUGGGCGAAAGCCUGACGCAGCGACGCCGCGUGAGGGAUGAAGGUCUUCGGAUCGUAAACCUCUGUCAGCAGGGAAGAACGGUCACUGUGCUAAUCAGCAGUGAAUUGACGGUACCUGCAAAGGAAGCACCGGCUAACUCCGUGCCAGCAGCCGCGGUAAUACGGAGGGUGCGAGCGUUAAUCGGAAUUACUGGGCGUAAAGCGCUCGUAGGCGGGAAAGCAAGUCAGAUGUGAAAACCAUGGGCUCAACCUGUGGCCUGCAUUUGA